GCCCCCAUAGCCCAAUCGGCAGAGGCAGGCGACUUAAAAUCGCUUCAGUGUGGGUUCGAAUCCCGCUGGGGGCACCUCAU
Molecule: transfer RNA, 80 nt
Filed under: Leifsonia xyli subsp. xyli str. CTCB07
Lineage: Bacteria; Bacillati; Actinomycetota; Actinomycetes; Micrococcales; Microbacteriaceae
Description: tRNA-Leu
Rfam family: tRNA
About the family: Transfer RNA (tRNA) molecules are approximately 80 nucleotides in length. Their secondary structure includes four short double-helical elements and three loops (D, anti-codon, and T loops).
Source: RNAcentral